Anthonomus grandis grandis is the source of this 2254-nucleotide long non-coding RNA. RefSeq lists it as uncharacterized. Lineage: Eukaryota; Metazoa; Arthropoda; Insecta; Coleoptera; Curculionidae. The record is from RefSeq and is a predicted model, not a curated record. The transcript is spliced from 2 exons.
UGCACGAGCAGCAUCGCGGUUGUCUCAUGAUUGUCUCAACGUUAUCCCGAACGACAGCAUCCUGGAUACAAAAAGUUUAUUGCGGUUCAUCGGCGGCUCGCUGAGACAGGCAUGUUUAAGAUCAAGAUGCAUGAUACUGGUGUUGCUCGAACCGUAAGAACGGUCGAAUUUGAAGAAGAGGUGCUUCAGCGAGUUGCCGACCAUCAAAUAGCACACGUGACGUCGCUAAGAAUAUGAAUACGAGUAACGCUUCUGUCUGGCGGGUACUACACGAGCAACAACUCCAUCCUUACCACUUCCAGAAAGUUCAAGGUAUGACUCCAGCCGAUUAUCAUCCUAGAGUUCAAUUGUGUCGAUGGCUUUUGGAUCACAUCAUUGCACAACCAAAUUUUUUACGAUAUGUUUUGUGGACCGAUGAAGCCUCUUUCACAAGAGACGGUAUUUUUAAUAGUAGGAAUAGCCAUGUUUGGGGCGAAGAAAAUCCUUAUGCAAUUUUUCCAAGAAAACAUCAGAAUCAUUGAUCUGUUAAUGUAUGGGCAGGCAUUGUUGAUCAUUAUUUAAUUGCUUGCCAUACCUUCUACCGGAACAAUUAACAGGACCUAUUUAUCUGCGUUUCUUGGAGGAAGUUCUCCCAGAACUCCUUGAAAAUGUUCCACUAAACGUUAGACAGCAAAUGUGGUUUCAGCAUGAUGGAGCACCGGCUCACUUUGCUGUACAAGUACGCGAGUAUUUGGCUCAGCGGUUUGGGCACCGUUGGAUUGCCAGAGGUGGAGCAGUUUCUUGGCCUCCUAGGUCACCCGAUUUAAGGUCGCUCGAUUUUUUCUUGUCGGGACAUGUAAAGUCUUUAGUCUACGAAACUCCAGUAGAAUCAGAGCUAGACUUAAUUGGACGAAUAACAGCAGCAUUUGAAAUCAUUCAAAACGAGGAUCAAAUUUUUAGUGUAGUCUGCCGAAAUCAUGUGCGGCGUUUCAAUCGGUGUAUUGAGGUUGGAGGAAGACAUUUUGAACAAUUCUUGUGAUGGUAUCAUAUACAAAAGGGCCGUAGUGGCGUAGUGACACAUGGGUUCCUAUACUCAAAUGGAUUCUACUGUUGCACUGAACAACCCCUAGAAGUUUGAUCCCAUAGUUCUGAAACACCCUGUAUAAUCUAGAGAUAUUGGAUGCUCUAAAUAAUUUGAAAAAAAUUACAAAAUAUGAUAUGGUUUACGUAAUACCUGGAAUUAAAUAUGAAAUGGGUAAAAAAAUUUGUAUACCGAAUAAAUUCUGAAAUGGUAAAGUACUCAUUAAUACGUUGGUCAGGUGGGAGGUAAAUGCCAGAACAUUAUAUUCAAUUUCUUUUUAGCUGAACUGAGCCAGAUAGUAGUAUAGCUCAUCCGCGACUGCGUCACCAAAUCUGAUUUAAUAUUAUUGCGAAUUACAAUGAUGACUCCUCUAUUUCAGCUUUUAUUAGUGGGUAAGAUAUUUCGAUCUCUGGGAUAUAUGCAAUAUGAUUCUAAACCAAAUUCAGAAUCCAUAAGACCAGGUGUAAGCGAAGUUCCAAAGAGCAUCUGAGCCAGUUCAGUGAGCUUGGUUCGAAGUCCAUUAACAUUUUGGUAGUAGACGAUGAUCCUGCCUUCUAUGUUCUCCUUGUCCUUCAAUGGUAACUGCUAAGAACAUGUUUAUUUGAGGGCUGUCUUACUAGAACUGACUACCAGGUUGCAGGUUUCUUUUAUUAUCACCAUUACUGCUCCAGCUGAGUAUGCUCUGGCACAUUGUGUAGCUAAGGAUUUAGCUACACAAUUCUUAUUCAUUUUCCGUAUUAAGUUCGGUAAACUUUAAGACCUGCGUCUGUCUAACCCCAGAGUCGGAAAAGCACUCAAGAUAAUCGAUAAAGAGACUAAUAGAUAUUCUACCUGGUUACGAAAGAAGCUUCAUACCAGAAGGACAUUUAGGACGCUUUGUGUUGUAUAAAGGAGGAGUUGUUGCCGAGAAUCUAAGAAGUCUAGCAAUUUCCAAACUCGCCUGCGGGGUCGGUAGCCGAUAAGUCUGGAAGUAAGAACUGGAGGAUGAUUCAGACAGAAUUUACAAUUUCUGUCGGAAUGUUCAAAAAAGCCCCCUGGUGGCAUGUGAAACUAAUAAAACCUUUGAAUAGUCAAUACAAUACAUACAUGCCAUAGACAACAAAACAAGUAUUUCAUUAAAAUCAUCUUUAGUCCUUAUAAAAUUCAUCCAAGCUGUAAUAUGCUUUACUCAAUAAAAAUGUCUUAACUACCUUA